UAGGGGAAUCUUCCACAAUGGGCGAAAGCCUGAUGGAGCAACGCCGCGUGUGUGAUGAAGGGUUUCGGCUCGUAAAACACUGUUGUAAGAGAAGAAUGACAUUGAGAGUAACUGUUCAAUGUGUGACGGUAUCUUACCAGAAAGGAACGGCUAAAUACGUGCCUG
This 165-nucleotide ribosomal RNA is filed under the name uncultured bacterium. RNAcentral describes it as "partial 16S rRNA". It matches the Rfam family "Bacterial small subunit ribosomal RNA", at positions 354 to 511 of the family's 1533-position model. The record is from RNAcentral.